GAACAGACAUGUAGCUUCAGAGUUCACAUGUGAGCACCUUUCCUUUUCCUCCGAAAAACGGAGGGCGAUGAAAUGAAAUAAUGACAAGUGGUGAAAUAAUGGCACAGGUAAUAUUGGCAAGAGAUUCUAUUUUCCCGCCAAAUAUUUAUUGCGUUGAGGGUUUAUAGAAAAUCAGUUUAAAAAUUGGUAGCCUUGCCUUUUAAAGAAGAUAAAAUAUUACAAAUAUAGGGAACAGCACACAAGUCCCCCUCACUCCGUUUUUUAAAAUCUCUUUCAACUUUUUAAAAAUCAUGGUUAGGGAUAAACAGAUUUACUUCUAUUCCUAAAGAAAAUUGUAUCUGUAGUCUUAAGAGAUUCUUCGUUUAUAAUUACUUAAGAUGUGGCACGUAUCAAAACGUGUGCAAAUCCACAGAUGGUGUUCAUGAACCUACAGGGGAGAUAUUUUACAGGAUUGAGAAGUAGAGGAAAAUAAAGAAAUGAUACUCUUCUGAGGAGUGUGCCUCCAGGACCUUAUUUGGGAGCUCCGGAAAUCUCAGAAGUCACCCAGUCCAGGAUUCUUCCCUCACCAGGGCUGACUCCUCGGAAUUCUUGUCCUGCUUGUUCACUGUCCUCUUGGCCACUUCCGGGGAGGAGCAAACUGGAACAUCAGCUUGGUUUCCUACACCGCAGCCCAGGCCAUUUCAGGUGGAAAGUUUCUUCUACAGUUAUGCAUCCCUGGGUCCGGUUCUGACCAGGAUGCCAUUCACAAUGAAUCUGCUCUCUCUCUCGUGGUCCCUGAAGGUAGUUCCUGGCUGUUCUUUGGGGCUGGACUCAGACUCCCUGUUACUCUGUGGUGAGGGGUCUGGCGAGUGCAUGGAGCUGGGUUGGGAGAGAUUACGAAUAAGGCUCCCUGUGGCUGGCUGUCCUGACUGACGUUAAGUGUCGGAGGCAGCCUCUGAGCCGGGAAUGACCUCACCACCUCCCAGUACUCCAUCCCUGCAGCAACUUACAUGUUGGUGGAGAACCCACCCGGGAAAGGGGUGAAGGAAGUUAUUUCCACGGGUGGGUCUUGGAAGAUGGAGACACAGACGGAUUGGCAACCUUAGGAGUGGCACCCCUCAGCGGUGGAGCUUGCUGAGGCUCUUUAGCCCCCGUGCAGGAGUGUAGGACGGUGCUUGGCAAACUUCAGCAUGCACGUGACUGGGGGCCGUGAAUGUACCUUCCUGACAAGACCUCUGGCAAUGUGAGUGUUGCCGGCCUGUGCACCACACUCAGAAUAGCAGGGCCGUAGAAAACGUUGCUUGGGAGCAUAGUAUGAGGUGGUAGGCAGUUUGGGCCAGAAAGGUCAAAACUUACUUAAGGGAAACUGUCAAAGUCCUCUUUUCCCUGCUGCUCCUCCCCCUUUAACUAAAGAACUGAAGUCUCCGUAGAAUCAGGAAAAAAAGCAACUCCCAUGGAUCCAGUCUGGAGUCAUCUGCGGUGCUCACAUGUAAGCAAGUCAGACAGAUUGCAGGAGCCUGGCAGCACCCAGGCCCCAUGGGCCACAGCAGGUGGAUGGAACAGACUUGGGGAUGAGGUCUGUCAUCUGUCCCUGGGAGGACAGGCAGGCCUGAGUGCUGGCUGUGCUUUCAUUGCCAAAGGAUGGUCGAUAUUCCCCAACACAAAGCCUAUUCCUUGCAGUGACCUGCUGAGAACAGGGCAGUAGUGGCUCCAGGGUUUUCCCACCAUGCAUUGGGAAAGCAUUGCUUUUGAGGUUGCUUGGUGAUACUCUGAAGGAAUAGCCUCCUCCUCUACUACACACUGAGUGACAGCUGUGUGGACUUGGCAGAAAAGUGAGUGAGGUCGCUGCUGUUGCUUGUGGGAAUGAGCCACUCGCCUCCUCUGCAGCUCUGUUGGCCCAGGAUGAGCCCAGGGCCAGAGUAGUCCACAGGCCUUGGUGUUCUGUGAUUCCUUCCUUUCUCCCUCCCUUCCAGAACAUAAAGACUUAUGUUGCUGCUAUGAGGAAUCAUUCCUUCAUACCAGAGUAACUCAAGACCUUCUUCCUUUUGAUUGGUUUUGAGGCAGAGUGGUUUUGAGGGAAAGGAAGUAGUUGUAGGGAUGUUGUGUGAUGCAGGUGACCUUCAUUCCCGAGGGAUAAGGUGUGCGUGCUUUUGCAGGGUCUGACACCGUGAGGGAGUAAGCCAGUGCUGCCUGGUGCUUGUGUCCAGCUGAAGCCCGGCUGGCUCAUCAGAGCCCUGCAUACGCGGGUUCAGCAGAAACUUGAGGGGGAGGAGUGUUUGUGCGGAGGGCCAGGGGGCUGAGGAAUGCCUAGGGAUAGCCUUGAAAGGUGGAGAUUCUCACGUGUCAUCACUGCAGGCACCACCCAGCCUCUUUACUAAGUGGGUCUCAGUGAGUGUCUAAUCUGUGGCCGAAAUCCGAUGAGAAAGAAUCUUAGUGUACAAAGUAGGGUGACUGGCAGUAUUUCAGUGGCAGUUUGGCACUGGUUGCUUUUACCUUUGUCUUUGAGAAAGUAAUCUUUGGUAAAGUUCAGUGUUGAGAAUAGGAUUUAACUAAGAGCCAGUCGCUUGCGAACCUGAAUGGGCGUACUAAGCUUUUAGAGUGGGAAUGUCAUCAGCUGGAUGCCUCAUUCCCCAGCCCUGUAAUAUCAAAAACAUAGUGAUACAACAGACAUGCACAGAGCCAAGAAAAAUUGCUUAUUACCUCAAGAUACAAUAUGACAAGGACUCAUUUUACCAAAGAGUUUUUGCUUCAGAAGGUGGCCAGGGUCAGAUCAGCCUCACUUUUAUUGCCGCUGCUGGCUUUGAACAUGGGAACCUCGGGCAGUGACUUCAGAUGUUAGCGUGUGUGGGCAGCAGAGAGCAAGGCAUGUGUCAGAGCUGCACGUAGAUCUGGGAGCAUCUGGGAGCUUGACAGCUCUGGGUCCUUGUUUGCACUUGGUGAUGCAAACUGGAGAGAGGGCCGCCUAUGGGAAGAUUGCCUUCGGUUCUUCUCCCUCACACCCUCGCUAGAUGGUUCUUAAUGCGGAAGGUAGGAUGAUUAGGUAGUAAGAAAACUAUGUACUUUUUAGCCAAACAUCUAAAGUUAUCAUUCAUGUUCAGUGCUGUGGUCCCACCUCUUGGAAAAUUUCCAAAAGAAGCCAGGGACCUCGUGGUUGUCCUCGAGUCUCAGGAACGGGGUCUGUGGCUUUGUGAUGGUGAUGCCUUAUCCUUGGCACCGCUCUUUACUCAGUGGGCACGGCAGGUUGCAUGAGUGCUUGUGCGUUCAGUUGAAAUCCUUUUAGAACAUUUCCAUGUUAGGACCCUCUGACUGAUGUGCAGACGCAGAAGUGUCUUGUGAAAUGCUGAGAGUGCACUGGUGUUUGUGCUUGGGUGUGUGUGCACUGUGCCAUGUGAGUGCUUGGUCAACUGCCAGGCAGGGCUGAUUGGGAUGGGACAGGAAGCUGGGGCCCGUGGAGGUGGGUAGGAACGGAGGCGGAGAGGCACCGGGGACCGGAGCCAAGCAUGAGGCGGUCAUGUCCCAGAGGCCAGCUGGUGAGUCCUGAGGCUGCCAGGAGGACACAAGCAAUGAUAAUGGAGGUGUGCUUUUGAGGCCAAAACGAAAGCUUGGGCUUUCUCUGAAACUGGUAUUGGGCUCUUUUCCAGUGUUCUCAGAAGUGAUCGGAGAUUUCAUCCUUUAUUCCUUGUUUCUCCUGUUGGGUGUCUACACAUCCCAGAAGGCAGUCCGGUUGUGCCGGCGGAGACCGGUCCCCAGGACCAGUGCACAGGGCAGGUUGUUGAUAGAGAGCCUCACGUCUGCAGCUCGGGUCAGUAAAAUACGGCAGAUGUCUUCAGUCGCUCUCAUUAUCUAAGCUGAUCUCUGGACCUUACAGAUAACAAACACCGAAGGAGAAGGCCGCCGGUUUCCUGACGGCCAAUUUCAGGUCUUUUUCCUCUGUGCUCUGUUCUGCGUCUUCAGCCGCCAUCUCCUGGAAGGCAGGGGCUGUUUCUCGUUCAUCUUUGUAUUCUUAGGACCUGGCACAGUGCCGGACGUAUGCAGUGACACUAAUUAGUCUCUUCCUUGUAUGAAGUGAAAGGUGCAAGGAUUAGAUAUGACCUCGACACCCUUGGGUUUAUUGGAAGGUUUUUUUGCGUGCCCCCAUCUGCACCCCCAAUACAUCACAGCCUGUUUCCUGCAUUCUAAUUUUGAUCCUUCAUCACCAUGGUCCUUCAUUGCUGUUAUUUGCUAGAGGCUGUGAAAGAAAUUAAAUGUGUGCAAGCUUAGGCUGACCUUUAAGGGCUCUUUGUUCUGUAGGCGGAAGCCAUUUGGAUGGACUCUCAGCUGCACAGGCAAGGUUGAUACUCCCCUUGAAAGCACAUGGGCAUGCGCCUAAGGAUUGAUGCUUUUUGGUGUGAUGUUUACAGGAAAUAAACUGGAAACAAGUUUAAAUGCACUCACCCACAGUCUGUUGAUUGUUCGUUAACCCUUAUCAGAGUAACCUCUAUCCUGGGUUAAUCUGGUAAACUACACGGUGUCCAAAUGAGAUUCUCUAAUAAUGACGGUGUCUCAUCUGCUGGUCUCCGCACAGCUUUCCCAGGGGGCUGCUGCUCUUUUGGCAGAUGCAACGGCUAUUUCUUUCCUGUGUAGGAUUUUGCUUUUACUAGGAGCCCGGAGUCCCUCCGAGGUUUGCCAUAUACAGCCUUCAACCCAGAGCAUGGCCUCCCAGAUGGUAAUUAAUGUUUAUACAAACUGGAAUCUCUUUGAGCCCUGCCAAGCACCCAUCAUUCCCCUGAUCUCCCACUCUUGCAGUGUUUGAAAAUUAAUUUGCCUUGAACAAACAGUGGGUUUUCCUCAAUUUAUUUGUACAGUUUCAGUGACCGAGAAGAGCUGCAAGACCAAAUGUCACCCUUCCAUUCGUUCAAGUGAUUGAAUCUGCUAAUGGAACAAACUGGUCUCUGUUUAAUGAUUUGAAGAACAGAGAGAGAGGAGGAAAAGAAAGAGAAGUGUAUGUUAGAGAAGAUAGACUUGGUCUGCCAAACACCACUGGAUUGUAGUUUUCGAAGCAGAAUCUAAAACUUGGGGAAAGGUAUUGCUAAAUUAACUCAGUAGUGCAAUUUUUGUUUCAGUAAGUAUACACAAAGUAUGCAGUCUUCGCUGAAAAGGAGAUUUUUGUUUGAGGUAAUGGGACAGACAGAAAGUGUUUAAAGAAUAGGUAUUGUUAGUUGCUUGAAAUAAUUACAUAUUGAUUCACAGAAAGUUGAUGCUUCCAUAUGUUUUGGGGCUUUUCAUUGUUGAGCAUUCCAACAUUUAUUAAUGUUCCCAUGUUCCCAUUCUUUAAAAUCUGGAUUCUUUUCUUACUUGGCUGCAAUCUUCAUUCCUUCUAUGUAGUGAGGUCUCUGUGGUUCUGUCACUUGGACAGAUAAGUAGAGAACUGAACUAGAAGACAGACUAAUUUUAAAAUAGGAGAGGUCCUUUUCUAGAUGAUAUGAACCGUCUGAUUCAGAAAUAUAAAUGGAUGGACGGUGGAUUGACAGAUGGAUGGAUGGAUGCAUGGCCUUAGGGGCCAAUGCUCCACAUGGUUUUCAGGAUGUCUUUAAGGCUCAUUCAUAUUUGCUGCAAUAAUGACUUGUUAGUGAGUACCGAGUAUAAAGACAUAAAAACCAACAGCUCAGAAAUGUGCCUUGGGACUGUUUCUUUCCUCCUCUUCCUCCUCCUCCUCCCUUUUCUCCUUUUCUCCUCCACCACCAUCACUACUACCACUACCAAAAAUAUUCACCAUUCCCUUUCUGUCCAAAUACACCCAGUUAGAACCAGUUAGAAAUGCUAAAGAGUAGUUGAAAGGAUAAGGCAUGCCAUAUCCUAUCCUUCUUUCUGAGAGGCAAAUAUUGAUCUGUUCUCUGGAUGAGGAGCUUUAGU
Long non-coding RNA from Phyllostomus discolor (pale spear-nosed bat), 5871 nucleotides. RefSeq lists it as uncharacterized. The transcript has 2 exons. NCBI's taxonomy places the organism in Eukaryota, Metazoa, Chordata, Mammalia, Chiroptera, Phyllostomidae. The record is from RefSeq and is a predicted model, not a curated record.